RNAcentral lists this ribosomal RNA (275 nucleotides) under uncultured bacterium. RNAcentral's name for it is "partial 16S ribosomal RNA". It matches the Rfam family "Bacterial small subunit ribosomal RNA", at positions 338 to 630 of the family's 1533-position model. The record is from RNAcentral.
CCUACGGGGGGCUGCAGUGGGGAAUAUUGGACAAUGGGGGAAACCCUGAUCCAGCCAUGCCGCGUGAGUGAAGAAGGCCCUAGGGUUGUAAAGCUCUUUCGACGGGGACGAUGAUGACGGUACCCGUAGAAGAAGCCCCGGCUAACUUCGUGCCAGCAGCCGCGGUAAUACGAAGGGGGCAAGCGUUGUUCGGAUUUACUGGGCGUAAAGGGCGCGUAGGCGGAUUUACAAGUCAGAGGUGAAAGCCCUGGGCUCAACCCGGGAAUGGCCUUUGA